GACGAACGCUGGCGGCGUGCUUAACACAUGCAAGUCGAACGGAAAGGCCCAGCUUGCUGGGUGCUCGAGUGGCGAACGGGUGAGUAACACGUGGGUGAUCGGCCCCUAACUUCGGGAUAAGCUUGGGAAACUGGGUCUAAUGCCGGAUAGGACAAUCGUUUAGUGUCGGUUGUGGAAAGUUUUUUCGGUUAGGGAUGAGCCCGCGGCCUAUCAGCUUGUUGGUGGGGUAAUGGCCUACCAAGGCGUCGACGGGUAGCCGGCCUGAGAGGGUGGACGGCCACAUUGGGACUGAGAUACGGCCCAGACUCCUACGGGAGGCAGCAGUGGGGAAUAUUGCACAAUGGGCGCAAGCCUGAUGCAGCGACGCCGCGUGGGGGAUGACGGCCUUCGGGUUGUAAACCUCUUUCGACAGGGACGAAGCUUUGGUGACGGUACCUGUAUAAGAAGCACCGGCUAACUACGUG
This 464-nucleotide ribosomal RNA is filed under the name uncultured bacterium. RNAcentral describes it as "partial 16S ribosomal RNA". It matches the Rfam family "Bacterial small subunit ribosomal RNA", at positions 28 to 507 of the family's 1533-position model. The record is from RNAcentral.